Molecule: ribosomal RNA, 373 nt
Filed under: uncultured Glomeromycotina
Lineage: Eukaryota; Fungi; Glomeromycota
Description: LSU rRNA
Source: RNAcentral
UUGAAAGGGAAACGAUUGAAGUCAGUCGUACCUGUGGGUAAUCAGCCUUUUGGGUGUGAUUUUGUGGAGUGUGAGGAGUUAAACGCCUUCAUGCCUGCAUAUUCGUGCACUUUGGGUGUAUUUACCCGUGUGGUAAGUUAACAUCAAUUUCGGUGAUCAUAAAAUGGCUGGAGGAAUGUAGCUNNGAUCUUGUAUUGAAGUGUUAUAGCCUUCGGUAGAUGUGAUGAUCGGGAUUGAGGAUUGCAACGGAUACCCUUCGGGGCUACCUGUCUGAUCUCUGAUCGUUGCUCUGGUGCCGAAAGCUUGCUUACGGUUAUCAAAGUCGAUGGUCAAUAGGUUAGAACGGGUUAAAUUCGUUAAGGAUGUUGACGUA